UGCCGAGACCAUCCAUAUGUUGCAUCUACCACUCAUUCAGGGACGACAACACUAACCACGUUUGCAUUCCUGAUGACGACACUGCCGUUGACGCUGGUCAGGUUGUAGAAGGCGUUCAGCUGAGACAGCGGCAACGCCAGUGUAAACGUGCCACCGAUGCUCACCAAGUAAGGAAAUCUGUGUGGGAGAGCAAGGAGAAGAAGAUGAAGAUAAGGUGGAGAGCAAGGAGAAGAAGAUGAAGGAUAAGGUGAAGGACGAGACCGAUAGCGCACAAGUA
This 277-nucleotide ribosomal RNA is filed under the name uncultured eukaryote. Its description in RNAcentral is "partial large subunit ribosomal RNA". The record is from RNAcentral.